RNAcentral lists this ribosomal RNA (564 nucleotides) under Xenopus laevis (African clawed frog). RNAcentral describes it as "partial 16S ribosomal RNA". It matches the Rfam family "Bacterial large subunit ribosomal RNA", at positions 1840 to 2597 of the family's 2925-position model. Lineage: Eukaryota; Metazoa; Chordata; Amphibia; Anura; Pipidae. The record is from RNAcentral.
CAUGUAUAAGAGGUCCAGCCUGCCCAGUGACUAUAUGUUCAACGGCCGCGGUAUUCUGACCGUGCAAAGGUAGCGUAAUCACUUGUCUUUUAAAUAAAGACUGGUAUGAACGGCACCACGAAGGUUCAACUGUCUCCUGCAUCCAAUCCAUUAAACUGACCUCCCCGUGCAGAGGCGGGGAUACAACCAUAAGACGAGAAGACCCUAUGGAGCUUUAAACUAAAGGCAACUGCCAACUUCAACCUAACCCAUAAGGAAAUAACAAUUAAACAAGCAGAAACUGACCUAAAGUUUUCGGUUGGGGCGACCACGGAGAAUAAAAAAUCCUCCUUGAAGAAUAGGGCCUACCACCCUUAACCAAGAACCACCAUUCUAAGUAACAAAAUUUAUGACUAUAAUUGAUCCAGUCCUACUGAUCAACGAACCAAGUUACCCUAGGGAUAACAGCGCAAUCCAUUUCAAAAGUUCCUAUCGACAAAUGGGUUUACGACCUCGAUGUUGGAUCAGGGCAUCCCAGUGGUGCAGCCGCUACUAAAGGUUCGUUUGUUCAACGAUUAAAGCCCU